GGUGGCUCAGUUGUAGAGCUCUUGCCUUGCAUGCAUGAGGCCCUGGGUUCGAUUCCUCAGCACCA
This 65-nucleotide transfer RNA is filed under the name Dipodomys ordii (Ord's kangaroo rat). It matches the Rfam family "tRNA". From Rfam's summary of the family: Transfer RNA (tRNA) molecules are approximately 80 nucleotides in length. Their secondary structure includes four short double-helical elements and three loops (D, anti-codon, and T loops). The record is from Rfam by way of RNAcentral. Lineage: Eukaryota; Metazoa; Chordata; Mammalia; Rodentia; Heteromyidae.